RNAcentral lists this ribosomal RNA (459 nucleotides) under uncultured bacterium. RNAcentral describes it as "partial 16S ribosomal RNA". It matches the Rfam family "Bacterial small subunit ribosomal RNA", at positions 338 to 795 of the family's 1533-position model. The record is from RNAcentral.
CCUACGGGUGGCAGCAGUGAGGAAUAUUGGUCAAUGGGAGAGAUCCUGAACCAGCCAAGCCGCGUGAGGGAAGACGGCCCUAUGGGUUGUAAACCUCUUUUGUCGGAGAACAAAACCCGGGACGUGUCCCGGACUGCGUGUAUCCGAAGAAAAAGCAUCGGCUAACUCCGUGCCAGCAGCCGCGGUAAUACGGAGGAUGCGAGCGUUAUCCGGAUUUAUUGGGUUUAAAGGGUGCGCAGGCGGAGGUGCAAGUCAGCGGUCAAAUUGCGGGGCUCAACCCCGUACUGCCGUUGAAACUGCAUCCCUUGAGUGCGCGAGAAGUAUGCGGAAUGCGUGGUGUAGCGGUGAAAUGCAUAGAUAUCACGCAGAACUCCGAUUGCGAAGGCAGCAUACCGGCGCGCAACUGACGCUCAUGCACGAAAGCGUGGGUAUCGAACAGGAUUAGAUACCCCAGUAGUC